Molecule: long non-coding RNA, 212 nt
Filed under: Gossypium raimondii (Peruvian cotton)
Lineage: Eukaryota; Viridiplantae; Streptophyta; Magnoliopsida; Malvales; Malvaceae
Description: long non-coding RNA (GRAI_LNC007758)
Source: RNAcentral
GAUCGUUAUCUUCGAGAACGUUUCCUAAAGAAUAAGAAUCAAACUUAUAAACAAAGAAUUUGAACAGUUUAAACAAGAAGUCAAACUUUCCACAGUGCCAACAAUCGACAAGGAUGUUAGAAAUUGAACAACCGAACUUACAAAAUUAACGGAAACAAACUUACCCGGUAAUAGCAAUAAUUAUGAAGUACGAAUCUAAGCCCACAAUAAAG